RNAcentral lists this ribosomal RNA (850 nucleotides) under uncultured crenarchaeote. RNAcentral describes it as "bacterial SSU rRNA". It matches the Rfam family "Archaeal small subunit ribosomal RNA", at positions 71 to 922 of the family's 1478-position model. Lineage: Archaea; Thermoproteati; Thermoproteota. The record is from RNAcentral.
AGCAUACAAGGCAUACGGCUCAGUAACGCGUAGUCAACCUAACCUAUGGACGGGAAUAACCUCGGGAAACUGAGAAUAAUGCCCGAUAGAACAUUAUGCCUGGAAUGGUUUAUGCUCCAAAUGAUUUAUCGCCGUAGGAUGGGACUGCGGCCUAUCAGUUUGUUGGUGAGGUAAUGGCCCACCAAGACUAUUACAGGUACGGGCUCUGAGAGGAGUAGCCCGGAGAUGGGUACUGAGACACGGACCCAGGCCCUAUGGGGCGCAGCAGGCGAGAAAACUUUGCAAUGUGCGAAAGCACGACAAGGUUAAUCCGAGUGGUUUCUGCUAAAGAAACCUUUUGUCAGUCCUAGAAACACUGAUGAAUAAGGGGUGGGCAAGUUCUGGUGUCAGCCGCCGCGGUAAAACCAGCACCUCAAGUGGUCAGGAUGAUUAUUGGGCCUAAAGCAUCCGUAGCCGGCUCUGUAAGUUUUCGGUUAAAUCUGUACGCUCAACGUACAGGCUGCCGGGAAUACUGCAGAGCUAGGGAGUGGGAGAGGUAGACGGUACUCGGUAGGAAGGGGUAAAAUCCUUUGAUCUAUUGAUGACCACCUGUGGCGAAGGCGGUCUACCAGAACACGUCCGACGGUGAGGGAUGAAAGCUGGGGGAGCAAACCGGAUUAGAUACCCGGGUAGUCCCAGCUGUAAACUAUGCAAACUCAGUGAUGCAUUGGCUUGUGGCCAAUGCAGUGCUGCAGGGAAGCCGUUAAGUUUGCCGCCUGGGAAGUACGUACGCAAGUAUGAAACUUAAAGGAAUUGGCGGGGGAGCACCACAAGGGGUGAAGCCUGCGGUUCAAUUGGAGUCAACGCCGGA